CAGCGUCUCGGCCCGUCCUCACCCUCAGGGCUCCUGGGACCCAGGCCCUGGUGGGGGACACGGUGGAGCUCCACUGUGAGGCCCAGACAGGCUCUCCUCCAAUCCUGUACCGGUUUUAUCACGACAAUGUCACCCUGGGGAGCAGCUCGGCCCCCUCAGGAGGAGGCGUGUCCUUCAACCUGUCUCUGACCUCAGAACAUUCUGGAAACUACUCCUGUGAGGCUGACAAUGGGCUGGGGGCCCAGCGCAGUGAGGCUGUGACACUUUCCAUCACAGGGCUGACAGGGAGCAACAGUGGCCAUGUGGCCACAAGCGUCACCGGGGUGCUGCUCAGCCUGGUGGGCCUGGCGGCUGUGGCACUGCUGUUCUAUUGCUGGCUCCCGGGAAGAGCAGGACCCUCAGGAGUGGGAAGAGGGGACGAAAGGCUGAGAAGCAGGGGUGGAAACAGGACGCAGAUGGUGUUGAUAACCUACUGACUUAUUAAGGUGUCUUCACAGCUGAUGGAGUCUGUUUUUCUCCAGGCUGCCAUGGGCCAUUAUUCUUUACAGACUCCAGGCUAAAGGGUCAUGGAUGGGGGGCCCCUUUCACAAUGUAACGACACCCCUCAGGAAGCCAGGGUCAGUCCCAGGGUUGGUCAUUGUGGCCCAGUCUGCCGCGUCCCACGGGCAGAGCUAAGAAGGGUUCCACAGAGGCUCCUGUAACACCCUCUGCUCUCUCUUGCAGGAGGGAGGCCUGCCUGUGAUGCCUCCAGGUAAGACCUGGGCUGUGUGCCUGCGGGGUUCACGAGAGGCCUGCGGGGCAGAGAGAGGGAAUUAAGCUGAGAGCACAGUCACGGCUGCGUGUUGUGAGAUGGGUUGUGACCAGUCCACGUGGUCACCUCCUGGGGGACAGCACAAGGCAGUUCCCAGGACCUUCUCACCUGCCACCUCCCCUAAGAUUCCUUCUUGAGUGAGGUGCUAACUGCUCUUCAUGUGUAACUGCCAUCCUAUCCUUGUGCCAUCGUUUCCUUGCUUGUCUGAGUGCCCGCUGUAACCGCCGACCCCACCCAUGUCCUGAGAUGGCCUUCACCUUAGCUGGAUCAGCCUGGAAAGCUCUGGCCGUGGCCAACCUAAGCGAUAUCUGUUGUGACGACACUAAGAAGGUGCAGUCACACAGCGGGGCCACCAGAGAGAGGUCUCUGCCAGGGUGGCGCCUGUGAGGGGCUGCCA
This is a long non-coding RNA of Hipposideros armiger (great roundleaf bat), 1208 nucleotides long. RefSeq lists it as uncharacterized. The record is from RefSeq and is a predicted model, not a curated record. NCBI's taxonomy places the organism in Eukaryota, Metazoa, Chordata, Mammalia, Chiroptera, Hipposideridae. The transcript is spliced from 3 exons.